CCGACCAUCCACGCACCCUUUUAGCGCCUAGGAGUGAUUGCUCCUCAUAAUAAACUAUUGAUACAGUAUUAAAUUACAAAUGUGAUUUAAUUGCACUAUUAGUUUAGUAGUUACUCAAUUUAAAUCAAAACAAUAUAAUAAAACAUAACAAUUCUUGGCGUUAUGUAGCCUGAUUUAAAACGAUAAAAAUAUGUAUUUCUUCUUCUUAAUAUCAUUGUAUUAUUGUGAAACGAAUUAAAAAAAAACAUCGAAAAAAUAUUGUUUUUAUGAAAAACACUAAUAUAAAUCGAUAAUAUUUGUACACAAUUGGGGAUGUAUUAAUUUGGACAAAAUAAGUGGAGGGAUGAAAAAAGUAAAUUAUAAAAUGUGAAACAUCUCCCUUCCACUUUGACCACUGAAUGUAUUAUAAUAUAGAAAUACAAAAUAAUUAUUUUUCUCAAUUAUAUUUAAUUAUUUAUUAGCUAUAGUAAAAAUCGAUGUAAUUUAAGAUCACAUAAAACAUAUAUAAUUACAUGUCGUAUAUAUUAUUGCUCAAUAUAUUAUUAAUAUGUUGACGAGCACAUCGCAGUUUCUGUAUAUCUGUUGGCUAUUAGGUACAUGCAAGUCACUGCAUGCCACUGUAUGCCACAUUAUAUGCAGCCUAUACUUAAAGGAAAAAAAAAAGAAAAUAACAACGGUAAAUUAAUAAAUUAUAAUAAGUACAUUCAAUAGCUGCGGCAUCAUCUCAGCGUUAACAAAUAAUAAAUAUAUAAUAUUAUACUACAGUAUACAAACAGUGUUUUAAAAAACCAAUACAUUUAUAUUAAAAAUUAAAAAUAAUACAAGCACGGAAUAUAUUAUGUAGGUACUUAUUUAGAAAUUUGUAUAAACAACUGUUUUUUUUUUUUUUUAAUUAUUUAAACAAUUUUAUAUCAAGCCUAGAGUAAGGGAGGCAGAUAUUGGCAUGGUUCCUGAGUCAACAAAUGUAAAAGGCCCAUUAUGUCACCAAUUAAUGUAGGUGUAUAAAAAGUCCGUUAAACAGAUAAGGUAGAUAAGGUAGAUUGUGCUAAAAAAAAUACGCGUACACUACCCAAACCAUGGAUAGCGUUAUUUCUAUAGAAAUGAAAAAUAAACACA
Cinara cedri is the source of this 1116-nucleotide non-coding RNA. NCBI's taxonomy places the organism in Eukaryota, Metazoa, Arthropoda, Insecta, Hemiptera, Aphididae. The record is from the annotation of a GenBank genome assembly.